GUGAGAAACUCCUUUUUUCCUCAUUCCACUAUUAUUAUUUUAAAAAAUUUUAUUGGAGUAUACUUGACUUAAUGUUAUUAUCAGGUUCAGGUGUACAGCAAAGAGAAUCAUUAAUCCAUAUAUCCAUUCUAUUUUCUCAUAUACGUUAUUCCAGACUAUUGAAUAGAUUUUCCUGUGCUAUGUAGUAGGUCCUAGUUAUGUAGAGUAGUACGUGUAUAUUAUUACCAUCCUUCUAAUUUAUCCCUCCCUGCCAUGGGAUUCUCUAUGGUAACUGUAGUUUGAUUUUGAAAUCUGUGAGCUUGUUUCUGUUUUAUAAUUAAGUUCUUUUGUAUCAUUUUUUAUUAGACUCCACAUAUAAGUAAUAUCAUAUGAUAUUUGUCUUUGACUUACCUCACUUAACGAUAAUCUCUAGGUCAUCUAUGUUGCUGCAAAAUGGCAUUAUUUCAUUCUUUUUUUUUUUUUUUUUUACAGCUGAGAAAUAUUCCAUUGUAUACAUGUACCACAUCUUCUUUAUCUACUCCUCUGUCGAUGGACAUUUAGGUUGUUUCCAUGUCUUGGCUAUUAUAUAUAGUGCUGCAAUGAACAUUGGAGUACAUGUAUUUUUUGAGUCAUGGUUUUCUCUGGAUAGAUGCCCAGGAGUGGGAUUGCUAGAUGAAAUGGUAAUUCUGCUUUUGGUUUUCUGAGAAAUCUCCAUACUGUUUUCCAUAGUGCGUAUACCAAUUUACAUUCCCACCAACAGUGUAACUGGGUUCCCUUUUCUCCACACCUUCUCCAGCAUGUAUUGUUUAUAGACUUUUUGAUGAUGGUCAUUCUGGCCAGUGUAAGGUGGUACCUUGUAGUGGUUUUGAUUUGCAUUUCUCUAAUGAGUGAUGUUGAACAUCUUUUCAUGUGUUUCUUGGCCAUCUGUGUGUUUUCUUUCUGUUUAGAUCCUCUGCCCAUUUUUUGAUGGCGUUGUUUGUUUUUUUGGUAUGGAGCUGCAGAAGGUGUUUAUAAAUUUUGGAGAUGAAUCCCUUGUCAGUCAUUUCAUUUGCAAAGAUUUUCUCCCAUUCUGUGGGUUGUCUUUUUGUUUUGCUUAGAGUUUCUUUUGCUGUGCAGAACUUUUAAGUUUAAUUAAGUCCUAUUUGUUUACUUUUGUUAUUAUUGUCAUUACUCUAGAAGGUGGAUUUGAGAAGGUAUUGCUGUGGUUUAUGUCAGAGAGUGUUUGGCCCAUUUUCCUCUAAGAGUUUUUAUAUAUCUGGUCUUAUAUUUAGACCUUUAAUACAUUUUGAGUUUAUUUUUGUAUAUGAUGUUAGUGUUCUAAUUUCAUUCUUUUACAUGUGGCUGUCCCGUUUUCCCAACACCACUUACUGAAGGGACUGUCUUUUCUCCAUUGUGUAUUCUUGCCUCCAUUGUCAUUGAUUAGUUUACUGUAGGUGCGUGGGUUUAAUUCUGGGCUUUUUAUCCUGUUCCACUAAUCUAUAUUUCUGUCUUUGUGCCAGUACCAUAUGGUUUUGAUGACUGUUGCUUUGUAGUAUAGGCUAAAGUCAGGGAGCCUGAUUCCUUCAGCUCCAUGUUUCUUUUUCAGGAUGUCUUUGGCUAUUCUGGGUCUUUUGUGCUUCCAAACAAAAUUUAAAAUAUUUUGUUCGAGGUCUGUGAAAAAUGUCCUUGGUAAUUUGAUGGGUAUUGCAUUGAAUCUGUAGAUUACCUUGGGUAGUAUAGUCAUUUUGAUAAUAUUGACUCUUCCAAUCCAAGAGCAUGGUAUGUCUUUCCAUCUAUUUGUGUCAUCUUUGAUUUCUUUCAUCAGUGUUUUAGAGUUUUCAGAGUUGUACAGGUCUUUUGUCUCUUUAUGAAGGUUUAUUCCUAGAUAUUUUAUUGUUUUUGAUGUGAUGGUACAUGAGAUUGUUUCCCUAAUUUCUCUUUCUGAUCUUUCAUUUUUAGUAUAUAGAAAUGCAGUUGAUUUCUGUGUAUUAACCUUGUGUCCUGCAACUUUGCCAAAUUCAUGAGUUCUAACAGUUUUCUGGUAGUGUCUUUAGGAUUUUCUGGGUUUAGUCUCAUGUCAUCUGCAAAUAGGGAUAGUUUUACUUCUUCCUUUCCAAUUUGGAUUCCUUUUCUCUCUCUUUCUUCUCUGAUUGCCAUGGCUAGGACUUCCUAAACUAUGUUGAAUAGUAGUGGUGAGAGCAGACAUCCUUGUCUUGUUCCUGAUCUCAGCAGGAAUUCUUUCAUUUUUUCACCAUUGAGAAUGAUGUUAGCUCUGGGUUUGUCAUAUAUGGCCUUUAUUAUUUUGAGGUAGGUUCCCGCUAUGUCCACUUUCUGAGGGUUUUUUUUUUUUUUUUUAUCAGAAAUGGGUGUUGGAUUUUGUCAAAGGCUUUUUCUACGUCUGUUGAGAGGGUCAUAUGGUUUUUAGUAUUCAGUUUGUUAAUGUGUUGUAUCACAAUGAUUUAUUUGUGGAUAUUGAAGAAUCUUUGCAUUCCUGGGAUAAAUCCCACUUGAUCAUGACAUACAACCCUUUUAAUUUAUUGUUGGAUGCUAGUAUUUUGUUGAGGAUUUUUGCAUCUAUGUUCAUCAGUGAAAUUGGCCUGUAAUUUUUUUGUGUGUG
RNAcentral lists this long non-coding RNA (2575 nucleotides) under Sus scrofa (pig). RNAcentral's name for it is "lncRNA (ENSSSCG00025018731.1)". The record is from RNAcentral. Lineage: Eukaryota; Metazoa; Chordata; Mammalia; Artiodactyla; Suidae.